UACGUAGGUGGCAAGCGUUGUCCGGAAUUAUUGGGCGUAAAGCGCGCGCAGGCGGUCCUUUAAGUCUGAUGUGAGAGCCCACGGCUCAACCGUGGAGGGUCAUUGGAAACUGGGGGACUUGAGUGCAGAAGAGGAAAGCGGAAUUCCACGUGUAGCGGUGAAAUGCGUAGAUAUCGAUCGGAACACCCGUGGCGAAGGCGGCUUGCUGGCUCGCAACUGACGCUGAGGCGCGAAAGCGUGGGGAGCAAACAGG
This 253-nucleotide ribosomal RNA is filed under the name uncultured bacterium. Its description in RNAcentral is "partial 16S ribosomal RNA". It matches the Rfam family "Bacterial small subunit ribosomal RNA", at positions 524 to 776 of the family's 1533-position model. The record is from RNAcentral.